CGCGUCAGUGUGCUUUGCUGACGUGGACACAAAUCACGAUUAUGUGGACGCGAUUUUCUGCCACGUCAGCAAACCGCGCUGGCGUGG
MicroRNA precursor from Gossypium raimondii (Peruvian cotton), 87 nucleotides. It matches the Rfam family "MIR7486 microRNA precursor family". NCBI's taxonomy places the organism in Eukaryota, Viridiplantae, Streptophyta, Magnoliopsida, Malvales, Malvaceae. The record is from Rfam.